Cygnus olor (mute swan) is the source of this 2215-nucleotide long non-coding RNA. RefSeq lists it as uncharacterized. Lineage: Eukaryota; Metazoa; Chordata; Aves; Anseriformes; Anatidae. The transcript is spliced from 3 exons. The record is from RefSeq and is a predicted model, not a curated record.
GUCUUCUCCAGCGGGGAGCUGCGGGGCUCGCGGCGUGAGGCGGCCCGCUGCCCGACAGCUCGGCGGCUCCUCCUCCUCUUCCUCCGCUCCCGGCCGGCCUCUGUGGGACGGGGAUGGAGGGACGGGCCCCGAAAAGCCUCGGCCACGGGAGGCAGAAUGGCCAGAGUACCCCUGCAGAGGGCAGGGGAGUUUUUGUGCCAUGUCCCCCUUCUGUUCGGGGUGCGUUGUGUGAGAGGAAAACCGCGUUGUUGCUGACGUGAUGCCUGUGAAAUACGUGCAUCCCUUUGAUUUUUUUCCCAUUGCUCUUCCCAGCAGAGAAGCAUCCAAACAACUGCCGUAGAGUUUCCUGCACAUCAAAAGGGAUUUUCCAAAUGCUUUUCUCCAACUGGAGUUGUUAGGACUCACCUGACAGUCUGAAGAUUGUCAAAGUGCCUGGCAAAAUCACAGUGAUUAGGUAGGUACAUGGAGGGCAGUGUAUGCUCUGGUGUGAAUGCCCUUUGCAGUGGUUGCUUUUGCAGGAACAGAAAUGGUUCCUCAAUUGUUUCAUAUCCACAUGCAAUCACUUAGCUUUUGGCCAGAUAAAUGCCCCCUGAAGAGUGGAAAACCAGAGGAGCAAAAUAAUUGCAGAUAGUUCUGUUUCUGUGUGUUAAUUUUCAAAGGUUAAUGAAAUUAAAAACACAAUAAUAAGUGCUUUCAAUACAUUUUUGUUUGUGUUGACAAGUCCUUGUCAGUAGCUAAUGUGAAAGAGACAUUACUGUACAGUGUUGUUACAAUGUUAUAACCUACUAAACAGAGAUUUUCAAAGGGAUCUCCAAGUAAGUUAUGACCCUUACAACUGGAAUUUGAACAGAGGAUUGCUGACAACAUGCCAAGGAGACUUCAGAAAUAACACAACCAUCACAUGUGAUAAUCUAUGUGGAACAAAAGAGAAUUGAAGAAUAUUCAGGAGAUAAUAAGAUUAUCUGGGAGGACUAUAGGACGAAUACUUGAUGGGCUACUGCUGUAGUAACUCUUGGGCAGAGACCUUGGUACAUGAAGCCAGAAGGGCCACAGAUGCUCAUAGAUCCAGCUGUAAGGAUCUGUAUGGAUUCUAGAUGGUUCCCAUUUUAAAGGUUUGGACAAUGCUGAAUUAAAGAAUUCAACCACGUGAUUUGCUGAGAGGGGCCAACCUUCCUUUGAGGUGUUAGCUGAAUCAAGAUUAUCUGGUAGGUCUUAGACAACAUUUGGUUUCGGCUGAAGGACAGACAACAAGACACAUUACAUACAUGUCAGACUCUAAGCUGUUAACCCCAGGCUGUGUUUCAAAGCCCAGCCCCGUCAGUCACUAGGCAUUUGGUCACCGGAGUUAGGCAUUUCACACAACCAUUUAGGCUGUAUCAACUGCACUUCCAUAAAGCCUGCAGCUCAUUCUCUACAGCAUGCAGUCUCACUCUCAUUUGGGUACCAUCAUGCACUGGGUUCAUGACUUGCUGCCCAGCUGCUUUUUAGUGUUCAAGAGCAGAAGAGUAGCUGUGGAACUAGCCACAGCGGGGAUGUGCGUGGGGUGGAAUGAUGGUGUGAAAAGCUUUCUAGAAAGUUUUCUAUAACUGAAAUCCCACAAGGCAACUUCUCCCCUUUGUGUCCCCCUGAACCCUUGCAUACUUCUCAGGAGUUUCCUGCAUUGGCCAUCAGAAAGCCAAAAGAGUUGCAGUCUCGGAUUACAGGAGAAAAACAAUUGCUGUACUUUUUAAGUGUUGAUACGCGUGGUUUUUCCUGAUGUGAGAUACUAACUUCAUCUGGGAAUUGCUGAGGUCUGUGAAAGCAAAAAGUAACAUAAGAUCCUUUUAUGCUGUAUGAGAGGACAAUUGCUGAGACAAUAAUUUUGGGAUAGCUACUUAGGAUAAAAAGCCAAGAACUUUUACACUCAGUUCAAUGUGGUUUAUGUUAAUACACAACCACUAUAAAACAAAGCAUUUUAAUAAGUUACAUUUUUUAAUUUUGGACUUUGCUCUUAAAGUUUAUAUUGUUACUAUAAACCCUAAUAAAAAUGGUGCUUUAUAUGGUAUUGUUGGAUUUCAUUUAGCAAAGCUAUUUUACUAACAUCAAACUGAAUUAUGGGUAUUUUUUAUUUUUCUAUUUCAAAUCAUAAUGGUCUGAGACUUGAAAUUUGGGAUUGUCAUAAUAUGCUUUUAAGGUGCAGAAGCAGGCAUGCGUUUUUUUAAGAUCCCUUCAGCAA